UCCGCGAGGGGCGGGGGGGCGGAGCCUCCGGCCACCGGCCUGGCCCGCCAUUGGGCGAGCCUCCCUGAGGGAUCCCUCUGACAGCCUGUGAAAGGCGCGAAUCUCGACCCGAGGAGGCGGGAUCGCCAAGGGGACCGGCUCUGGAGGUCACCGCUCCGCGGGACGCGUCUCGCGGCCCCGGGAGCUUCGCGGGGGCUUCCUCCGCUGUCGCCGGCGCGAACUCCGGCGGCUCAGCGAGUGUCCGGGGAGAACCGCCGCUCCGGAGCCCACAGCGUGCCCGGCCCUGGUCGCGCCGGUCUCCGCCUCGACGACUCGGUCACAUCACUUUCUCUUCAGAUUUCCCUCGGGUCCUCGGGGUCCCUCCCCGCCUCUUCGCGCCCAGAAAGCUGGAUUUCGCAGAUGCCCCGCUCAAGGGAGAGCAUUUUUUUUUCCCCGGGAAUGAAGUCGCUCCUCCGUGUUGGCCAUAGUCGAUGGAUGGGAGGGGCUAAAAGUCACUUGGUGUCUUGACAAGGUUUGUUACUGUUGUUAAAAUCGUCCGCUCUUCAAAGUUUGAGGGAAAUCACUUCCUGCGAGCCUGGGACUUGCGGAUUGCUUCUGAGCUGGAAGGUUUGUCUUUAUCACUGUUUGUAGAGGGACAGGUACAGAUGGGGAGAAAAGUGAGCUCUCAUCUGGAAAUGAGCUUCUACUUCUGAUCUCUGCUUGUCUUCUGUCUCCAAAAUUUGAAGUUAAAAUUUGUCACUUUGAAAUUUUCUUCCAAAAAUUCCCAUGUGAUCCCCAAAAGAUAUUGAGAUAUGAUAUCUAUAAACAUAUAUAUACCUAAAUUUUAUCUUAUUUCAUAUCUUUAAUCCUAUUUCUUGUGAAUGAGUAACCCUAGUACACAUACACACAUACCAGUACCUGCCCACCUUGCCCUGAGUUAUAUUUCAAAGCCUUCUUGUCUGAACUUACAAUAAGGGCACCAUGCCUCAAACACUUUCCCCUAAUUCUCUAUUUCCUAGGUUUUUCAGAUCAGGCUGCCAUACCUGUAUCUUGCUGAUGUUAGAUAAGAUAGCCAUAAUAUUAGGUAACAGUGAAUGGUAGGAGAUAAGAUUGAACCAUGGGGAAUGGCUUGGAGCAAACACCCCUCUCUGCCAUGUGCACAAUUAGAAUUCAUCAUGGGGAGAGGAAGAAGGGUGGAAGGUCAGUAUGGGAAGGCUCUUUAGUGGGUACUUUUUUCCAGUCAGAGCAUCUUGGCCUCCCUAGCAUCCCCUCCCCCCCUCAGGAGUGAUCCUUUGUGAUGUCUGAGCUCCCCAUAGCCACCAUUGGCUGUGGGAAGUGCCCUGAUGACAAAACAAAGCUGAAGGGGUGUGACUCCUCAUUGCCCUGGGGAGGGGUAUAUAUACAGAGGACAGGACCCUUGGGGUAAACAGUUGAGAGCUUAAACAUGGCCAAAGUGACCAAGAAAUCACGGGAGCAACAAUCCACAAGCACCAAGCGGUGGAAGAAGAAGAAGACCCGCUCUCAACCUAAAUCAAGACGCAAUAACAAGGUUCUGAAGAUAUACAAGAAGAUAAAAAGACCAUUUCACAUGACCUCAAGAAAAAAAUACUCUCCUAAAGUUACAACUACUUCAAGAAGGCGGAAGAGAGGGAGAAGGGCCAACAAAUUUCAGCCAUCACGGUAGACUGAGCCAUAAGCAGCCAGGCCAAGCCCAGCAUACCCUAUAAAAAGACACCACUUGAAUAUAAGAUCCCUGCAAACAGUACCUGCAGAGCAAGCUUCAGAGACCUCAGACAAUCUGCUGCAUCUAAGUCCUGGCUGCUGAGAAAUGGCCAACUGCAUAGGGACUUACUCAGACACUAAUGUGGAAUGGUGGUUUAAUGGUGGUUAUUAAAAUCAACAAGGUGUAAGAAACCCCUCCAAAAAUAAAAAUAGGCUCUCUGCCAGAAA
This is a long non-coding RNA of Myotis lucifugus (little brown bat), 1929 nucleotides long. RefSeq lists it as uncharacterized. The record is from RefSeq and is a predicted model, not a curated record. Lineage: Eukaryota; Metazoa; Chordata; Mammalia; Chiroptera; Vespertilionidae. The transcript has 3 exons.